AACCAAUGGGCUUUAGUCCAGCCCCCUAGUAUAUAAGGGGCUGUAGUCUCCAUAUUCGCUCUCUUAGUUCCGGCUCUGGUUCCUGCAAGCACAAGUCCUGUACAAAAGCAUCUAGGCCAAAGCCUAAAGACCAGCAGACACUUCUAAACUGCUGCAGAAAAUGAACUUCCAGGGAAAAACAAAGACAAAGAAAUUAUAUACCAGCCACCAAAUACAGAUCCUAUUGAACUAUUUAUUAAUGAUGUCACAAGGAAUGAAAAUUCAAGCUGGCUAGAAAAAGUAUAUGAAAAAGAUCCAAAAUAUAUUCACCCAAUGAUAGCCGCAGCAGCAGCGGUGUAGAUAAGCACCAAUAAUGAUCCCGGAACAUUAGAGAAAAGGUCCAGCGCGACUUGAUCGAUCAAAAGCUUGUUAUCAUAUCUCAAUCCAAGAGACAAAAGAGUGAUGUGUUUCAGUCGACCAUGUCUACCUUAGUCAUACCAAUAAAAUUAGUAAAUUAAUUCUCAUCCUGAGUUACAUAUUUAAUUUUUUGUCAGCCUUCAUACUACAAUCAGACUAAUACUAUUUCUCAGCACAUAUGUACAUGUUUGCUCUGUU
Long non-coding RNA from Hyla sarda, 594 nucleotides. RefSeq lists it as uncharacterized. The transcript has 3 exons. The record is from RefSeq and is a predicted model, not a curated record. Lineage: Eukaryota; Metazoa; Chordata; Amphibia; Anura; Hylidae.